GAACAUCGAUGAUAUAAGAUUGGCGAUGAUUACAGUUUUUCAUGUAUCAUAUAAUUAUAUCAUUUCUAUUAUACAAACUGACUCCAGGAUAUUUAAUGCAUAUAACUUUUUUUUUCUUUUAAAGGUUUUGCUAUGUAUAUAUCUUGUGAUGACCCGUCCCUUUUGACCUUUUUCUCAGUCAAACAGUGCCGCCUAUGCCAGGUCAGCCGGUAAUAGAACUCAAGUUUAUUCCGGUAGCAGCAUGGCUUCUCGAUUCAAGCGGCAAGGAUAUGCCAUUAUCAUCAAUUUAUCAUGACGGGAAACUAGAGUUUGUUACAUGUUGUGGUCAGCCUGUUUACACCACUGUUCUCAGAGUCACAAAGGGUGAAGAAGAAUUUACGUUCUCUGAUGUGCCGGAGAAACCGAUUCCGUCUCUGUUGUAGGGUUACAGUGCUCCUAUCCGCUUACAAUCUGAUCUCAGAGAUGAUGAUUUGUUUUUCCUUCUUGCUCAUGAUUCAGAUGAAUUUAAUCGUUGGGAAGCUGGACAAUAUUGGCAAGGAAAUUGAUGCUUAAUCAAGUCGUUAAUUUCCAAAAUAGUAGUCCGUUGGUUCUUGAGCCACAAUUUGUGCAUGGUAUUAAAUGCAUACUUUUGGA
Long non-coding RNA from Helianthus annuus (common sunflower), 633 nucleotides. RefSeq lists it as uncharacterized. The transcript has 3 exons. Lineage: Eukaryota; Viridiplantae; Streptophyta; Magnoliopsida; Asterales; Asteraceae. The record is from RefSeq and is a predicted model, not a curated record.